This 228-nucleotide ribosomal RNA is filed under the name uncultured Propionibacteriaceae bacterium. RNAcentral describes it as "partial 16S ribosomal RNA". It matches the Rfam family "Bacterial small subunit ribosomal RNA", at positions 110 to 339 of the family's 1533-position model. The record is from RNAcentral. Lineage: Bacteria; Bacillati; Actinomycetota; Actinomycetes; Propionibacteriales; Propionibacteriaceae.
GUAACACGUGAGUAACCUGCCCUCAUCUCUGGGAUAACAGUCGGAAACGGUUGCUAAUACUGGAUAUGAGCCUGCAAGGCAUCUUGUGGGUUGGAAAGAUUUUUUGGUUGGGGAUGGACUCGCGGCCUAUCAGCUUGUUGGUGAGGUAGUGGCUCACCAAGGCUUCGACGGGUAGCCGGCCUGAGAGGGCGACCGGCCACAUUGGGACUGAGAUACGGCCCAAACUCC